GGUCUUACGGGAAAAGAAGAAAGUCAUUGACAACCUUUCGGCAGAACAGCUCACAAUCAAAAGAGCAUUUUCAAGACACCGAUUUACUCCCUGUUUUGGUGGUACUGACAUUUAACAAUGCAAGUGAAUCGUCCUGUACUGACUCUUUGCCUUCUUGGCACAGUUGUCCUGUGUGUAGUGGCAAACUCAACACAGGCUCCUCAAAUUACCGAAUCUCUACCAACUACCAUGAAUCCCACGACCACAACUCUUCCAUCCACCGCUUCCACAAGUGGUCCAGCUAUCACUGGUCCAGCUAUCACUUCCACAAGUGGUCCAGCUACCACUGGUCCAGCUAACACUUCCACAAGUGGUCCAGCUACCACUGGUCCAGCUACCACUUCCACAACUGGUCCAGCUACCACUUCCACAACUGGUCCAGCUACCACUUCCACAAAUGCAACAGCUACAACUACAAACAAACCCAGCACCACUCCUCUAGAAACUGAGCCUGUGGGAGGACUUUCAUCUGGUGCUAUAGCCGGUAUUACCGUUGGCUCUAUUGCUGGGGUGGCUGCUGUUGGUGGUGGUAUAUUUGGUGCGCUGAAGUACACUGGGAGGAUCUGAAAUCAAUUAUUGCCAUACAAGGGUAUAAAUAGUUAUGGGUUGUAAGCACAAAUAGAUGAAAUCCAGACCGUGUUAACUGAAGAAUAAAAAACUCCAAAUGUUUGAAAGGCUCAACAUUAUAUAUGUAGAAUAACAUUAUAUAUGUAAUAUGAUAAGGAUGUCAUGGGCCCAGAGGAAGACAUAAAAGGAAAACAUUUGAAUGUUGUCUGGCUGUAGGUCAGGAAGUAAACUUUGGUGGAUCAAAAGACUACAAUGAAAUAUGCAAUAUACUUUUAGUGUAAACUAUAGUGGAAACUCCUUGUCUAAUGGAUUAAAUUGCCUGGGUUCAAUUGUGUUUGAUUUUAAUUUUUUUUUUUUACAAUGUCUUACAUAUCGGAUUACUUUGGUCUUUUGGAUUUAAAGAGUGCAUGGUGUGUGUAAAAUGUGCAGCUAGUUCAAUACUGAUGACAUUAUUUUUUAAUCAGUAACUGGGCUUUUAUACCCAAAUUCUGUAUUCACAUCAAAUUCACAUUUAAAUAAAGAACUGUUCCCCGUA
Micropterus salmoides (largemouth bass) is the source of this 1141-nucleotide long non-coding RNA. RefSeq lists it as uncharacterized. The transcript has 4 exons. The record is from RefSeq and is a predicted model, not a curated record. Lineage: Eukaryota; Metazoa; Chordata; Actinopteri; Centrarchiformes; Centrarchidae.